This 253-nucleotide ribosomal RNA is filed under the name uncultured bacterium. RNAcentral's name for it is "partial 16S ribosomal RNA". It matches the Rfam family "Bacterial small subunit ribosomal RNA", at positions 524 to 776 of the family's 1533-position model. The record is from RNAcentral.
UACGUAGGGCGCAAGCGUUGUCCGGAAUCAUUGGGCGUAAAGCGCGCGUAGGUGGCUUCGUAAGUCCGUUGUGAAAGUCAAAGGCUCAACCUUUGAAAGCCGAUGGAUACUGCGGAGCUAGAGUACGGAAGAGGCGAGUGGAAUUCCCGGUGUAGCGGUGAAAUGCGCAGAUAUCGGGAAGAACACCCGUGGCUAAGGCGGCUCUCUAGGACGGUACUGACGCUGAGACGCGAAAGCGUGGGGAGCGAACAGG